Hevea brasiliensis (rubber tree) is the source of this 2592-nucleotide RNA transcript. It is a transcript of the gene named phosphatidylinositol/phosphatidylcholine transfer protein SFH8, with no coding region annotated. The transcript has 15 exons. The record is from RefSeq and is a predicted model, not a curated record. NCBI's taxonomy places the organism in Eukaryota, Viridiplantae, Streptophyta, Magnoliopsida, Malpighiales, Euphorbiaceae.
CUCCCUCCCUCUCUCUCUCUCUCUCUCUAUAUUACAGCUCUCGUGUCCUCUACCAGCUGGAGCAGGAUCUGUAGUCGACGAAAGAUCUCUAGAUAUUGAAAUUUGAAUUCUGCGAUGCGGGAUCCGUGUUAGCAAUACCAUUCUUUGAUCUAUCGGUCGUUAAAUUAUCAUUUUUUAUUUAUUGUGAAACGAUUGCUUUCUUUUCUGUAAUCGAAUUCGAUCUUGAGAGCUGAACAUCGAUAUGUCGGGAACGUUGGAUCGCUUCGCGAGGCCUUGCUUUGAGGGCUUUUCCGGCCAUGAUGAAAGGAGAGAACGGAAAUCAGAUUUUGAAAACUCAGAGGAUGACAGGAAGACUAGAAUUGGGAAUCUAAAGAGGAAAGCAAUGAAGGCAUCUAAAAAGAUCAGACGUUCUCUCCAUAAGAGGAAGAGUAAAAGUAGCGGGGAAGGGAUUACUGCCGCAAUUGAGGAUGUUCGGGAUGUUGAAGAGCUGCGGGCUGUAGAUGCAUUUAGACAGGCGCUCAUUGCGGAUGAUUUGCUUCCUUCUAGACAUGAUGAUUAUCACAUGUUGCUGAGGUUCUUAAAGGCAAGAAAGUUUGACAUUGAAAAAGCAAAGCAAAUGUGGGCCAAUAUGAUUCAGUGGAGGAAAGACUUCGGCACUGACACAAUUAUGGAGGAUUUUGAGUUCGAUGAGCUGAAUGAAGUUCUAAAGAACUACCCUCAGGGUUAUCAUGGUGUAGAUAAAGAGGGUAGGCCCAUCUACAUUGAAAGACUAGGGAAAGUUGAUACCAACAAACUUAUGCAAGUGACCACUAUGGAACGAUAUUUGAAAUAUCAUGUGCAGGAGUUUGAAAAGAGUUUUGCAAUAAAGUUUCCAGCUUGCUCUAUUGCUGCAAAGAGGCAUAUAGAUUCAAGUACAACUAUUUUGGAUGUGCAAGGCGUGGGUUUGAAAAACUUUACCAAGUCGGCUCGAGAGCUCAUCAUAAGGCUGCAAACGAUUGAUGGUGACAACUACCCUGAGACACUUUACCGAAUGUUCAUAAUUAAUGCUGGUCCUGGUUUUAAGUUGCUCUGGAACACAGUGAAAUCGUUUCUUGAUUCUCAAACAGCUAGCAAGAUUCAUGUUCUUGGCAACAAGUACCAGAGCAAAUUGCUUGAGAUAAUAGAUGGAAGUGAGUUGCCUGAAUUUCUGGGUGGUAGCUGUACUUGUGCUGAUCAGGGAGGUUGUAUGAGAUCUGACAAGGGUCCAUGGAAAGAUCCAAACAUUCUGAAGAUGGUUGAGAAUGGUGAAGCACUAUAUUCCAGAGAAAUAGUAACAAUUUCAAACAGUGAAGGAAGGGUGAUUGCUUCUGAUAAGCUAUGUUAUCCGAUGAUGAAAACUAGUGAUACAUCUACUGCAGAGUCAGGAUCUGAGGUAGAAGAUGUUGCAUCUCCUAAAACAACUAGGAGCUAUUUGCUUCCAAGAUUGACUCCUGUCUGUGAAGAAGCUAGGGUGAUUGGUAGGGCAAGUGCUGCUGGAGGCUUCUCAGAAUAUGAUGAAUAUGUACCCAUGAUUGACAAGAAUGUAGAUAGUGGAUGGAAGAAACAAGUAUCCUUUCAAGAGCCACAUAUGUCCAAAGGAACACUGCCUCUACCAAGUGUGGGAAAAACUCCAGAAGGAAUAUUUGCUCGUAGUUGGGCUCUGCUUGUGGCAUUCUUCAUGGCCUUCCUUUCUUUCAUCCAUUUACUGCCAAUUUGGGUGACUAAGAAAAACCCUGUGCCUAAUUCUGUCUUUGAUGCUACUGAUCCAACUCUUGAACUGGUGCUCAAGGAGAAGUUCCGGCCCCCUUCUCCUGCUCCAAGAUUUACUCAGGCAGACCUGCUCUCAUCUGUGUUGAAAAGGCUGGGUGCACUUGAAGAGAAGGUUGACAUGCUACAAGUGAAGCCUUUUCAGAUGCCUUAUGAGAAAGAGGAGUUACUGAAUGCUGCUGUUUGUCGAGUGGAUGCUCUAGAAGCUGAGCUAAUUUCUACAAAAAAGGCAUUGCAUGAGGCUUUAAUCAGACAAGAAGAGCUUCUUGCGUAUAUAGAUAGACAAGAGGAAGCCAGAUUUCGGAAAAAGAAGUUUUGCUGGUGAAGAAGAGUUUUGUGUACAGGAGGAAACAUGUCCAACUGCAUUCAUGUCCUUAGCUCGCCUUCUGGAGAAGCGCUGGUUGGCUGUGCUGUGGAACCUGUGGAACGAUAGGAAUCGUCUGUUGUAGCAAGGACAGGGCCGAACCCCUCAUGGAAUCAUCUCUUCGGCUCUCAACUUCUUGAAUGAAUGGAAAUCUGUGAAGGAGAAUACCAUGCAACCGACGCACAGGGAAAGUGUUGCUCGAAGUCUGUUAGCGUGGACAAAGCCACGGAAUGCGAGGACAAAAUGUAAUAUAGAUGCAGCUACUCAAGGGAGGAGGGUAAAGUGUCAUAUGGGGCGGUUGUGGGAGAUGAUCAUGGUGCUUUUGUAGCAGAUAUUUCAGGUGUUUCUUUGGGUUAUAAGCUUCCUCCGGGUGCUGAAGCAUUUAGGCUAAGAAAGGUGCUGACUUGGCUUUAUCCACUAAUUGCAUUGAAAUUGAUUCCAAA